Long non-coding RNA from Hemicordylus capensis (graceful crag lizard), 2538 nucleotides. RefSeq lists it as uncharacterized. The transcript is spliced from 8 exons. Lineage: Eukaryota; Metazoa; Chordata; Lepidosauria; Squamata; Cordylidae. The record is from RefSeq and is a predicted model, not a curated record.
GGAAAGAAGAGUGGUGGGCUAGAGUGUCUCUGUCCUCACCACAAACACUUUCUCUCCCCUGACCUCCAUUUCAUUUUCUAGGAAGAGAGUGGUGUCAGAGAAGUCUGUUACGGCAGUGGGGAUGAGCACAACCUACACCAAGGAGACUCCAGGCAUAGCAGACACAGCAGUGGACUCUCUGGCAUCUGUCACAAGCAUCUAAAACAAGAAGAAUAAAAAGUGCAAGCAAGAUACAGCAGAGACAGCUAGAGGAAAUAAAUCUGGUAGCCUCUGUGGAGGAUCCAACGUGACAUUCAUUAAAGUCAGGAUGCCCAUCAGAAUUACUGAGACAAGGAACUGAGAGGAGGAGAAAAAAGGAUAAAGGCCCCAUGAUGAUGAUGAUGAUGAUGAUGAUGAUGAUGAUGAUGAUGAUGGAGCAGCCUCAUCUGCCCACAGGAAGUCAUUUUUGCAUCUUCCUACUGUUUCCACAGGUAUGAAAACACUGAAGAAAUUGGGGCAGCCCUUGCUCAGAUAGGAAAUUUGCUGGAAGAAAGUCUGACUUUGUGGCAGUGCUGGACAGUGGAAUUUGGAGCAAUUGAAAUAAGUUGGGAGGUCAGAGAUGUGGCUACUUUUCAUGGAUGGGAUCUGUGGCAUUCAGAAGGAAAUCCUGUCCAUGACAACUGCUAGGCUAAACAUCUAAGCUUGGACACCUUUUGGAAAGACACAAGAAAGACCUAACUCUUUGAACUGGCCUAUGGGAACGAAUGUGAAACUGGAAAAGGAGCAACACAUUUUUAUUUGCAAAAGCUGAUCAUCACACUAACCUUCUUCUUCGUUGAACUCUCUUUUAAACAACAACAGUAUAAGAUUACUGCAGUUUUCGCCUGCAACCGACAUAUAUUUGAAUCAUUUAAAAUACAACGGCCAGCCGAGUUAACUCUUAUGUGUUACAGGCAUGGGCACUAGAACUUCCUCUUCAGAUGUCCUGUGCCUGCAAGAGCAUAUAGGCAUGACUGUUUGUGUACUUCCUUGUAUAAGAGCUGCCAGAAUCAGAGAUGGUGCCUACACCAUGAAACACUUCAGAGGGCUGAAAGAGGAUGCAGCCACUGCAGCUCCCACUCUCUUCUGCCACCAGGCCUUUCUCCCAUUUGCUACCACACUUGCAAUGUGAACUGGAUGCUUGCUACAGCAGAACAGAUAAAGAUGAGUGAAGGGACCAACACAGGAACAGUGUGAUAGCUGUAUUUUCUUUUGGCGCUUGAGCAUGUAAGGACAUAGAAAACAUCUAUAAGAGAGCCCCAAGCAAGCCUAUUUUUAAUGCAGCAGUGCUAUGUGCUUCAAGGAGCUACCUUGCAAGCAGUUAAUUUUUUGGAAUCAUGUCUUGUAUAUAAGGCCUGAACAGCUUCUGGGAUUACUACUUUAAAUAUAAGCCAUAAUACUGUCAAUAUGGUAAUUUCAAAAACUGGCUAGCCUCAAGGCUAGGAAAACUCUACAAAAUUUGAUCCAUUAGCACCACAGGGAUGGUGGCCAUGAGUACCCAUAAAACAAGUGCUUCUUUCAGAAAUGCCACCAAAGAGGAAUUGCUCCAAGAAAAUUAGUCCAAUAUCACGCUCUUCACUGAAAUCCAUUUAUAAGUGUUGUGACAUGUUUAAAAUAGUGAUCCCAGAAGCUGUUCAAGAUAUUAUUUCAAAAAAAAUGAACUGCUUACAGGGUAGCUCCUUGUCUUCUGAAAUCUAAACUUAUUGCUUUCUUUUUCUGACUUACUCCUUUCAGUUACAUAAAAAAAUAAGCCAACAGCUUCUCCUAUAUGUUCCAAGUCAAGGAUGUGUGUAAAUCCUGUACCAAGUUAAAGCCGGAGCUUGCAGUCCUGCUCACAGGCUGCUUCAACCCAUUUGGAGUUAAUGAAAUUAAAGAAGCCUAAGAGCACACAGGAUUGCAGCCCAAGUGCUGAACACUUUGCGGGGUUAAAGCCCAAAGUUUCUCCAAGUUGACAGAAUAUUACCUUGCAAUUACUUUGAUACAAAAAGCAUUUAUGGUGGUAUUUUUUAAUUGGCACUAUUAAUUUUCAAAAUGCUGGAAGAAAGAUUUCAAGCAACACAGCCUACUCUUCUAGAAGUUCAAAGCAUUACAAAAAAAUCAUCUCAAAAAUUAUGGUGGAUUUGGAUAUAACACAGAGUUCUGAAUUAAAGCUGUUUAAGCAAAUUUAAACAUCUGAAUUAUAGGCUAAACUUGCAAUUCUGCUAGCUGUACUUGUUGAUCCAAUAAAAGUGACUGGCUUAUCUUGAAUGCUUUUUAUGUCUUAUUCUAGAAGACCAACACUAAAACUUCUAUAUUGUAAUUUCUUUGACAGAAUUUGUUAUCAGAGCAUGUACCUCAGAGAGAGAUUUCAAAAAUGUAUAAAACUAAUGGUCAACAUUUAACUAUAUUGAAUUCUGUAACCCUGAUGCACUAGUUUAAUGGCUAUUGUUAAAAGAAUGUCUAUCCAUUUUCUUAGUCUGUACAUCAAUGGUUUGUCAAGCGUGUUGAUUUCAGCAUUAUUAAAGACCAUUUCAAGGGUAA